Molecule: ribosomal RNA, 253 nt
Filed under: uncultured bacterium
Lineage: Bacteria
Description: partial 16S ribosomal RNA
Rfam family: Bacterial small subunit ribosomal RNA
Source: RNAcentral
UACGUAGGGGGCAAGCGUUGUCCGGAUUUAUUGGGCGUAAAGAGCGUGUAGGCGGCCUUACAGGUCAGCUGUGAAAACUCGAGGCUCAACCUCGAGACGUCGGUUGAAACCGUAAGGCUAGAGUCCGGAAGAGGAGAGUGGAAUUCCCGGUGUAGCGGUGAAAUGCGCAGAUAUCGGGAAGAACACCCGUGGCGAAGGCGACUACCUGGCCUGUUCUUGACGCUGAGGCGCGAAAGCUAGGGGAGCAAACGGG